GACGAACGCUGGCGGCGUGCUUAACACAUGCAAGUCGAACGGAAAGGCCCUGCUUUUGUGGGGUGCUCGAGUGGCGAACGGGUGAGUAACACGUGAGUAACCUGCCCUUGACUUUGGGAUAACUUCAGGAAACUGGGGCUAAUACCGGAUAGGAGCUCCUGCUGCAUGGUGGGGGUUGGAAAGUUUCGGCGGUUGGGGAUGGACUCGCGGCUUAUCAGCUUGUUGGUGGGGUAGUGGCUUACCAAGGCUUUGACGGGUAGCCGGCCUGAGAGGGUGACCGGCCACAUUGGGACUGAGAUACGGCCCAGACUCCUACGGGAGGCAGCAGUGGGGAAUAUUGCACAAUGGGCGGAAGCCUGAUGCAGCAACGCCGCGUGCGAGAUGACGGCCUUCGGGUUGUAAACCGCUUUCGCCUGUGACGAAGCGUGAGUGACGGUAAUGGGUAAAGAAGCACCGGCUAACUACGUGCCAGCAGCCGCGGUGAUACGUAGGGUACGAGCGUUGUCCGGAUUUAUUGGGCGUAAAGGGCUCGUAGGUGGUUGAUCGCGUCGGAAGUGUAAUCUUGGGGCUUAACCCUGAGCGUGCUUUCGAUACGGGUUGACUUGAGGAAGGUAGGGGAGAAUGGAAUUCCUGGUGGAGCGGUGGAAUGCGCAGAUAUCAGGAGGAACACCAGUGGCGAAGGCGGUUCUCUGGGCCUUUCCUGACGCUGAGGAGCGAAAGCGUGGGGAGCGAACAGGCUUAGAUACCCUGGUAGUCCACGCUGUAAACGGUGGGUACUAGGUGUGGGGUCCAUUCCACGGGUUCCGUGCCGUAGCUAACGCUUUAAGUACCCCGCCUGGGGAGUACGGCCGCAAGGCUAAAACUCAAAGGAAUUGACGGGGCCCCGCACAAGCGGCGGAGCAUGCGGAUUAAUUCGAUGCAACGCGUAGAACCUUACCUGGGUUUGACAUGGAUCGGGAGUGCUCAGAGAUGGGUGUGCCUCUUUUGGGGUCGGUUCACAGGUGGUGCAUGGCUGUCGUCAGCUCGUGUCGUGAGAUGUUGGGUUAAGUCCCGCAACGAGCGCAACCCUUGUUCACUGUUGCCAGCACGUUAUGGUGGGGACUCAGUGGAGACCGCCGGGGUCAACUCGGAGGAAGGUGGGGGUGACGUCAAGUCAUCAUGCCCCUUAUGUCCAGGGCUUCACGCAUGCUACAAUGGCUGGUACAGAGAGUGGCGAGCCUGUGAGGGUGAGCGAAUCUCGGAAAGCCGGUCUCAGUUCGGAUUGGGGUCUGCAACUCGACCUCAUGAAGUCGGAGUCGCUAGUAAUCGCAGAUCAGCAACGCUGCGGUGAAUACGUUCCCGGG
Molecule: ribosomal RNA, 1343 nt
Filed under: uncultured bacterium
Lineage: Bacteria
Description: 16S ribosomal RNA
Rfam family: Bacterial small subunit ribosomal RNA
Source: RNAcentral